AAUGGGUCAGCGACUUAUAUUCUGUAGCAAGGUUAACCGAAUAGGGGAGCCGAAGGGAAACCGAGUCUUAACCGGGCGUUAAGUUGCAGGGUAUAGACCCGAAACCCGGUGAUCUAGCCAUGGGCAGGUUGAAGGUUGGGUAACACUAACUGGAGGACCGAACCGACUAAUGUUGAAAAAUUAGCGGAUGACUUGUGGCUGGGGGUGAAAGGCCAAUCAAACCGGGAGAUAGCUGGUUCUCCCCGAAAGCUAUUUAGGUAGCGCCUCGUGAAUUCAUCUCCGGGGGUAGAGCACUGUUUCGGCAAGGGGGUCAUCCCGACUUACCAACCCGAUGCAAACUGCGAAUACCGGAGAAUGUUAUCACGGGAGACACACGGCGGGUGCUAACGUCCGUCGUGAAGAGGGAAACAACCCAGACCGCCAGCUAAGGUCCCAAAGUCAUGGUUAAGUGGGAAACGAUGUGGGAAGGCCCAGACAGCCAGGAUGUUGGCUUAGAAGCAGCCAUCAUUUAAAGAAAGCGUAAUAGCUCACUGGUCGAGUCGGCCUGCGCGGAAGAUGUAACGGGGCUAAACCAUGCACCGAAGCUGCGGCAGCGACACUGUGUGUUGUUGGGUAGGGGAGCGUUCUGUAAGCCUGUGAAGGUGUGCUGUGAGGCAUGCUGGAGGUAUCAGAAGUGCGAAUGCUGACAUAAGUAACGAUAAAGCGGGUGAAAAGCCCGCUCGCCGGAAGACCAAGGGUUCCUGUCCAACGUUAAUCGGGGCAGGGUGAGUCGACCCCUAAGGCGAGGCCGAAAGGCGUAGUCGAUGGGAAACAGGUUAAUAUUCCUGUACUUGGUGUUACUGCGAAGGGGGGACGGAGAAGGCUAUGUUGGCCGGGCGACGGUUGUCCCGGUUUAAGCGUGUAGGCUGGUUUUCCAGGCAAAUCCGGAAAAUCAAGGCUGAGGCGUGAUGACGAGGCACUACGGUGCUGAAGCAACAAAUGCCCUGCUUCCAGGAAAAGCCUCUAAGCAUCAGGUAACAUCAAAUCGUACCCCAAACCGACACAGGUGGUCAGGUAGAGAAUACCAAGGCGCUUGAGAGAACUCGGGUGAAGGAACUAGGCAAAAUGGUGCCGUAACUUCGGGAGAAGGCACGCUGAUAUGUAGGUGAAGUCCCUCGCGGAUGGAGCUGAAAUCAGUCGAAGAUACCAGCUGGCUGCAACUGUUUAUUAAAAACACAGCACUGUGCAAACACGAAAGUGGACGUAUACGGUGUGACGCCUGCCCGGUGCCGGAAGGUUAAUUGAUGGGGUCAGCGCAAGCGAAGCUCUUGAUCGAAGCCCCGGUAAACGGCGGCCGUAACUAUAACGGUCCUAAGGUAGCGAAAUUCCUUGUCGGGUAAGUUCCGACCUGCACGAAUGGCGUAAUGAUGGCCAGGCUGUCUCCACCCGAGACUCAGUGAAAUUGAACUCGCUGUGAAGAUGCAGUGUACCCGCGGCAAGACGGAAAGACCCCGUGAACCUUUACUAUAGCUUGACACUGAACAUUGAGCCUUGAUGUGUAGGAUAGGUGGGAGGCUUUGAAGUGUGGACGCCAGUCUGCAUGGAGCCGACCUUGAAAUACCACCCUUUAAUGUUUGAUGUUCUAACGUGGACCCGUGAUCCGGGUUGCGGACAGUGUCUGGUGGGUAGUUUGACUGGGGCGGUCUCCUCCUAAAGAGUAACGGAGGAGCACGAAGGUUGGCUAAUCCUGGUCGGACAUCAGGAGGUUAGUGCAAUGGCAUAAGCCAGCUUGACUGCGAGCGUGACGGCGCGAGCAGGUGCGAAAGCAGGUCAUAGUGAUCCGGUGGUUCUGAAUGGAAGGGCCAUCGCUCAACGGAUAAAAGGUACUCCGGGGAUAACAGGCUGAUACCGCCCAAGAGUUCAUAUCGACGGCGGUGUUUGGCACCUCGAUGUCGGCUCAUCACAUCCUGGGGCUGAAGUAGGUCCCAAGGGUAUGGCUGUUCGCCAUUUAAAGUGGUACGCGAGCUGGGUUUAGAACGUCGUGAGACAGUUCGGUCCCUAUCUGCCGUGGGCGCUGGAGAACUGAGGGGGGCUGCUCCUAGUACGAGAGGACCGGAGUGGACGCAUCACUGGUGUUCGGGUUGUCAUGCCAAUGGCACUGCCCGGUAGCUAAAUGCGGAAGAGAUAAGUGCUGAAAGCAUCUAAGCACGAAACUUGCCCCGAGAUGAGUUCUCCCUGACCCUUUAAGGGUCCUGAAGGAACGUUGAAGACGACGACGUUGAUAGGCCGGGUGUGUAAGCGCAGCGAUGCGUUGAGCUAACCGGUACUAAUGAACCGUGAGGCUUAACCUUACAACGCCGAAGGUGUUU
Molecule: ribosomal RNA, 2348 nt
Filed under: Escherichia coli
Lineage: Bacteria; Pseudomonadati; Pseudomonadota; Gammaproteobacteria; Enterobacterales; Enterobacteriaceae
Description: partial 23S ribosomal RNA
Rfam family: Bacterial large subunit ribosomal RNA
Source: RNAcentral